GACGAACGCUGGCGGCGUGCUUAACACAUGCAAGUCGAACGGAAAGGCCCUUCGGGGUACUCGAGUGGCGAACGGGUGAGUAACACGUGGCUGAUCUGCCCUGCACUUUGGGAUAAGCCUGGGAAACUGGGUCUAAUACCGAAUAGGACCACGCGCUUCAUGGUGUGUGGUGGAAAGCUUUUGCGGUGUGGGAUGGGCCCGCGGCCUAUCAGCUUGUUGGUGGGGUAAUGGCCUACCAAGGCGACGACGGGUAGCCGGCCUGAGAGGGUGACCGGCCACACUGGGACUGAGAUACGGCCCAGACUCCUACGGGAGGCAGCAGUGGGGAAUAUUGCACAAUGGGCGCAAGCCUGAUGCAGCGACGCCGCGUGAGGGAUGACGGCCUUCGGGUUGUAAACCUCUUUCAAUAGGGACGAAGCGCAAGUGACGGUACCUAUAGAAGAAGCACCGGCCAACUACGUG
Molecule: ribosomal RNA, 462 nt
Filed under: uncultured bacterium
Lineage: Bacteria
Description: partial 16S ribosomal RNA
Rfam family: Bacterial small subunit ribosomal RNA
Source: RNAcentral